UGCUCAUCAUGAGGGGCGGAGGGACUGGCCCGACGAAGCCCGGCAACCCCCACCGAUUUAUGAUUAGCGAUUUUGGAUUUACGAUCAGGCUCUUUGCAGCCAAUCGUCAAUCGCCAAUCGUCAAUCGUAAAUGGCGGGAAGGUGCCAAUUCCUGCAGGCGCAUUGUGCGCCUGAGAGAUGAGAG
This 184-nucleotide non-coding RNA is filed under the name Kouleothrix aurantiaca. Its description in RNAcentral is "SAM-I sequence". It matches the Rfam family "SAM riboswitch aptamer (S box leader)". From Rfam's summary of the family: The SAM riboswitch is found upstream of a number of genes which code for proteins involved in methionine or cysteine biosynthesis in Gram-positive bacteria. The record is from Rfam by way of RNAcentral. Lineage: Bacteria; Bacillati; Chloroflexota; Chloroflexia; Chloroflexales; Roseiflexaceae.